This 1529-nucleotide long non-coding RNA is filed under the name Marmota monax (woodchuck). The record is from RNAcentral. Lineage: Eukaryota; Metazoa; Chordata; Mammalia; Rodentia; Sciuridae.
UUUGGAAGUCAGUUUGUUAAUAUCUGUUAAAGUUUUAAUGUGCAUACCCUCCUGCCCAGCAAACUAGCUUCUACGGAGAAAUUUUUACCUGCUAUGUUUCUAUGUUGCUUAUAUUUUCACACCAAAUUUAUCAUUUAGGAUCCAAAACUACAGAAUUUUCUACAAGGCUUUUCUAAACCUUGUAACUUGAUUGCUCUAAAAAAUAAUCAAGUAUACUUGUGAGUUUUCCAAAAGUGACUGGCCACAAAACUUUUAAAGUUGGAACUGGGUGGCAACUUGGUCCAGGACUCAGAUAGGAAGGUGCCCAGGAACUCAGGCACAGAGUCAUGACAUAAACAUACAUAAACAUCAGCUGCUACCUGGGCACCAAGACAGUGGCAAUAACACCACCUCUCCCAACCCAGUUCUCAGCUUCACAUGCCUCUCCCCAAAGACCUCUGAACCCACCAGGCCAAAGAGCACAAGAUCUGAGAAAGCACAAGCACCUGCUGAAGAUCAAGCAGCCCAUAUAGGAAGAUUUAGGAAUUCCUUUCUGCACAGAUAUUUAAGAACAUUGGGAAUAUAUAUAGCUUGUGUGCCUUUUCAAGCAAGAUCAAAUGGGCAUGCCCUGGGCUGGUAAAACUUAAGGAUUAGAGAAGCACACAAUGAACAUAUUGCUUCAGGGUGCUGUCAGAAACACUGUAAGCACAAACACAGAUUAAAGUUUAAAAAAGAAAGAAACAAACAAACAAACAAAAAAGAAACACAGCAGGGUCCAAACAUAGCUUACUCAAAGAUACUUUCAGUCCAAGGUGGGAACUUGACUGAGGACAUAGAGGAACAGAAGGAUCCCUCUGCCCAGGACAACAUGGCCAGGCACAUCUGUUCUAGGUUGCUGUCAGGCCGAUGUCACUGGAAGUUAAAUUGUAACCCUGCAGAUCCCAGGCAAUAUGGAAGAAAGGCAGUCUUACUAAGGAAGGGUAGAGGAAAUAUUUAAAAAUAAGUGGAAAGAAGACACAAAAGAACACCAAGGAAACAAGAUUGGAAUUCAAAAGCUCCAUACCUCUCUCCAGGCCUGUUACAACCUCUGGUCAAGAGCCAGAUGAUCAAUAAUCCAAGAAAAGUUUUAAUGGGAAAAAGACCAAAUUAUAGUUUUCCACCAGUGUACUUUUGAUAUGAAAGUUCAUUUUUUAAAACCUUAUAAAUCCAUUCAAUCUUGCCAGCAAGACAACACACAAAAGCCUUUGGCUGCUUUCUAUAUCCAUUCAGGUACCAUCCAGUAUUUUUCUUUUUUUUUAUCCUAAAAUGACCAGUCAUUAGGACAAAUGACACAUACCUGUCAUCCCAGCUAGAAGGGUAGGACAAAAAUCACUCUUCUUCCUUUAACAAAGUAUAUGCCCUUCAUAUCUCACACCUUCCCGUAUCAAGAACGUACCUUGCUGGGCAUAGCGACACACACCUGUCACCCCAGCUACACAGGAGGCUGAGGCAGGAGGAUGCCAAGUUCAGAGAUAGCCUGGGCAGCUUACCAACACCCUGUCUCAAAAUAA